UUUUGUCCUCAAUCACCGUGU
Caenorhabditis elegans is the source of this 21-nucleotide non-coding RNA. The record is from Ensembl. NCBI's taxonomy places the organism in Eukaryota, Metazoa, Nematoda, Chromadorea, Rhabditida, Rhabditidae.